This 377-nucleotide ribosomal RNA is filed under the name uncultured organism. RNAcentral's name for it is "partial 16S ribosomal RNA". It matches the Rfam family "Bacterial small subunit ribosomal RNA", at positions 527 to 896 of the family's 1533-position model. The record is from RNAcentral.
AGAGGGUGCAAGCGUUAAUCGGAAUGACUGGGGCGUAAAGCGCACGUAGGCGGUAUAAUAAGUUAGAUGUGAAAUGCUGGGGGGCGUUAACCUCGGGAACUGCAUCUAAAACUGUGAUACUAGAGACCAGGAGAGGGGAGUGGAAUUUCCGGUGUAGCGGUGAAAUGCGUAGAUAUCGGAAGGAACACCAGUGGCGAAGGCGGCUCUCUGGCCUGGGACUGACGCUGAAGAGCGAAAGCGUGGGUAGCGAACAGGAUUAGAUACCCUGGUAGUCCACGCUGUAAACGAUGAGAACUAGCUGAUUGAGUGCGACGACACUUGAGUAGCGAAGCAAACGCGCUAAGUUCUCCGCCUGGGGAUUACGGCCGCAAAGGCUA